Molecule: long non-coding RNA, 424 nt
Organism: Carya illinoinensis
Lineage: Eukaryota; Viridiplantae; Streptophyta; Magnoliopsida; Fagales; Juglandaceae
Exons: 2
Source: RefSeq, a predicted model, not a curated record
GUAAUUAUAAUCACCGCACAUACCACUCCAUAAAGGAAAUGCAAGUAACUAAAACGUCCAAGACAUUACUGAGUAACUAAAUAAGCCACUACCAAGCAGCAGUACCGCACAUUUAUUUGAGCUUUCUUUCUUUUCAGUAUUUUCAAUAUCUCCCGUGAAUAAUGCUGUACAUAAUCGAUAUCUCCCGUUAAAAGGCUCCCUAGAGACCCCAAUCUGGGCGAGGAAGGCAUUGAAAGGAGACCCACAGGUGGGUUGCUCCUGGCUGAUCUCUGGUCUUUGCGAACAAGGCAUCUCAGUGAAGGUGACAAAUUUGCUGGCAGAGACGUCUUUUACCUUGGGGAUUAUUCGAGAACCAGAGCCUUAUCUAGGGCAGUGAAAGUUCUUGGAAACCUCGUCAUCAAAAAAAAAAAAAAAAAAAAAAGAA